Molecule: non-coding RNA, 161 nt
Organism: Haemonchus contortus (barber pole worm)
Lineage: Eukaryota; Metazoa; Nematoda; Chromadorea; Rhabditida; Trichostrongylidae
Source: Rfam
AAACUUACUUGGCUGGGGGGAUCUCGCGAUCAAGAAGGCGGGACCUCCGUGGUGAGGCCCCCACAUUGCACUUUAGUGGGUGCUGACCCGCGUGGCAGCCUCAGGGUGAGGUUAGCCAACAGCUAAAUUUUUGUGUGUGGGGCCUGCUUAUGCGACCCUGG